AUGGUUGCGAAAUUCUCAUCCAUAUCUACUCGAAAGCUACCUAAAGCAUUAUCGGUGUUGAGUCGUGAUAAAACAAUGGUUGCUACAUGUGACUAUGGUGACUUCCACAAAAUGGUGAAGCGCUUUGUUAUGGCGGGUUUGUUGGGUUCUUCUGCUCAGAGACAAUUUCGGGAGACGAGAAACAUGAUGAUGGACAACAUGUUAACCACCUUUCAUACAUUGGUGGCUGAUGACCCACAUGCUCCUCGGAACUUUCGACAAGUUUUCAAGGAGGAGCUAUUCCGCUUAUCGUUGAUCCAGGGUUUAGGUGAGGAUGUGAGUUCAGUUUAUGUGAAGGAGUUUGGACGGGACAUAUCAAAGGAUGAAAUCUACCAGAUCAUUGUGGCUGACAUGAUGAUGUGCGUCACUGAGAUUGAUUGGAGGGAUUUCUUCCCGUACCUCAGCUGGAUUCCAAACAAGAGCUUUGAUACAGCAGUUGCUACCACAGAAUCUAGGCGAACCACGGUGAUGCGAGCGUUGAUCGAUCAGCAGAAGGAAAGAAUUGCGCGUGGCAAGGCAAAGACAUCCUAUCUGGACUUUUUGUUGGCAGAGAACACAUUGACAGAUGACCAAGUAACGAUGCUGGUGUGGGAGUCAAUCAUAGAGGGUGCAGAUACUACUUUGGUGACGACCGAGUGGGCUAUGUACGAGCUUGCCAAGAACCCCGAAAAACAGGAUCGUCUCUACCGGGAGAUCCAGGAGGUGUGCGGCGAGGACAUGGUGACGGAGGAUCAUCUUCCUCGGUUGCCGUACCUGAAUGCCGUGUUCCACGAGACGCUGCGGCGCCAUUCUCCUGUCUCGCUUCUGCCUCCAAGGUUCGUCCAUGAGACCACCACACUGGCCGGCUACGAUGUCCCAGCCGGAACAGAGGUGAUCGUCAAUGUGUACGCCUGCAACAUGGACAAGAAAGAGUGGGAGGAGCCCGAGGAGUGGAGGCCGGAGAGGUUCCUGAACGACGGUAGGUUCGACGUCGCGGACAUGUACAAGACCAUUGCAUUCGGCGCCGGGAGGAGGGUCUGUGCCGGGAGCGCGCAGGCGACGGGCAUUUCGUGUGCCGCCAUGGCGAGGUUCGUGCAGGAGUUCGUUUGGACGCUCAAGGAGGGCGACGAGGACAAGGUGGACACCGUCCAGCUCAUGGGCUACAAGCUCCACCCCCUCUACGUGUAUCUCUCGCCGAGGAGAGGGAGGCAGUGA
Molecule: ribosomal RNA, 1233 nt
Filed under: Triticum aestivum (bread wheat)
Lineage: Eukaryota; Viridiplantae; Streptophyta; Magnoliopsida; Poales; Poaceae
Description: partial small subunit ribosomal RNA
Source: RNAcentral